UACCUUCACUAAUGGUUUCUAUUUUUUCUGAUCCAAUAAACAGGAUAAGGGACAUCAAGGAUACAAAUGACUGAGCUGCUGCUCUUCAGUGUCUCCUGUUUUUCAUGGAGGGGCCUCGGAUCUUGAGUACUUACGGCCUCUGACUUGGCAAGAAAACAAACACGGGACACCUGCUGAUGAGGCAAUUGUGAAGAGUUGAAGAGGACUAUUUCCCACCUGUCGUUGACAGUGUCUUGAUUUACAUGAAGACCCUGGUGAAGAGACCAAACUACGCUCUCCCAGUCUAUCAUUCUAGUGGCACUGGAAAUUGGAUUUGGCUUGGGAAACUUCCAGUCUUAAAUGAUUAAGCAUCCAGAUACAAGGUUAUGGGAUUGCCUCAGUCAGGAGGACCUGCUUAACUCUGCAAUUCCAAGGGUUUCUAGAGGCGCUCCAAAGCCUUUGCCGGAAGGUGGCGACAUCCGCCCUUCUUGCCUAGAGCUGUCCCAGGUGCUGAA
This 494-nucleotide long non-coding RNA is filed under the name Vulpes vulpes (red fox). Its description in RNAcentral is "lncRNA (ENSVVUG00000005512.1)". Lineage: Eukaryota; Metazoa; Chordata; Mammalia; Carnivora; Canidae. The record is from RNAcentral.